Molecule: ribosomal RNA, 2007 nt
Filed under: Triticum aestivum (bread wheat)
Lineage: Eukaryota; Viridiplantae; Streptophyta; Magnoliopsida; Poales; Poaceae
Description: partial small subunit ribosomal RNA
Source: RNAcentral
AUGGCAACGACGGCGCGCUUGAUCCUGCUCGCCGUCGCCGUGUCGUUGAUGCUGCAGGUCGCCACCGUGUCGGCGGCGCCAUCGUCGGGAUCCCGCGGCGGCGUUACGCUGCGCGUGGAUGGUAGACAGGUGGUGGUGGACAACGGCCUGGUGCAGGUGACGCUGUCGAGGCCCGGGGGCCACAUCACCGGCGUCCGCUACGGCGGGGAUCGGACGAACCUCCUGCACUCCACCAGAAGCAGAAACACUGGCGGGUACUGGGAUAUGGUGUGGAACAUCCCCGGCUCCGACCAACGAGGCCUGCUCAACACGCUGGAUGGUUCGGAGUUCAGGGUGGUAACGCAGAGCGACGACCAGGUGGAGCUGUCGUUCCGGAGCACGUACAGCCCGGGACGUCGGAGCGGCGUCCGGCUCAACUUCGACAAGAGGCUGGUGAUGCUCAAGGGCAGCUCCGGGUUCUACAGCUACGCCAUCCUGGAGCACGGCGCCGACACGCCGGCCAUCGACAUCAGCCUGGCGCGGCUCGCCUUCAAGCUCAACACGGAGAGAUUCAACUACAUGGCCGUCUCGGACGACGUACAGCGGUACAUGCCGCGGGCGGCCGACCGGGAGUCGCCCCGUAGCUCCCCGCUGGCGUACAAGGAGGCGGUGCUGCUGGUCGACCCGUCGGAGCCGCAGUUCAAGGGGGAGGUGGACGACAAGUACCAGUACACGCUGGACACCAAGGACAACAAGGUGCACGGGUGGGUCAGCACUAGCAGCGGCCAGCCGAGCCACGUCGGGUUCUGGGUCGUCACCCCCAGCAGCGAGUUCAAGAGCGGCGGGCCGCUCAAGCGCGACCUCACCUCGCACGUCGGACCGACCUGCAUGAGCGUGUUCCAUGGGACGCACUACGUCGGGGACGACAUCGUGGCGCGCAUCGGGGACGGCGAGCAGUGGAAGAAGGUCAUGGGCCCCGUGUUCGUCUACCUCAACUCAAACUCGGAGAAGGUAGACCCGCGGGCGCUCUGGGAGGACGCCAAGGCGACGGCCCAGGCUGAGGCGAAGAAGUGGCCCUACAGCUUCCCGGAGUCGCCGGACUUCCACAAGGCCGGCGAGAGAGGCUCCGUCACCGGCCGAUUGCUCGUAAGGGACAAGUACGUGAGCAGGGAUAACAUGCCUGCUCGGGCAGCUUACGUAGGCCUGGCCGCGCCCGGGCAGCCUGGCUCAUGGGCGACGCAGAGCAAGGGCUACCAGUUCUGGACGACGGCGUCGAACACUUCCGGCGAGUUCACCAUUGACAACGUCCGGGCGGGGGAGUACAACCUCUACGCGUGGGUUCCUGGGGUUCUCGGCGAUUACUUGAACACCACCCGCGUCACCGUAACACCCGGCGGUGCAAUCAACCUCGGCGAUCUUUUGUACGAGGCUCCGAGAUCAGGGCCGACACUGUGGGAGAUCGGCGUUCCUGACCGGAGCGCGGCGGAGAUGUUUGUCCCUGACCCCGAGGCGAAGUACCUCAACAAGCUCUUCCAGAACAAAGACAGGUACAGGCAGUACGGGCUGUGGGAAAGGUACGCCCAACUGUACCCGACGGACGAUCUCGUCUACACCGUCGGCGAAAGCCACCACUCCAAGGACUGGUACUUCGCACAUGUCACAAGAAAGGUCGGCGACGACAUCGUGCCGACGACGCGGCAGGUCCGGUUCCACCUGGGCCGCGUCGUGCCUGGCGGCACCUACACCUUGCGCGUGGCCCUCGCGGCCGCUCACGCGGCGAGGCUGCAGGUCCAGGUGAACGGGGCGACGAGGCGUGUGGGGGUCUUCGGGACGCCGGCGUUCGGCGACGGCAAUGCGAUCGCGAGGCACGGCGACCACGGCACGCAGUGGAGCUUCGAGUUCCCUAUCAGCGGGAGACUGCUCCAGGAAGGCGACAACACCAUCCACCUCACGCAGACGAGGGCCAACAGCAUAUUCCUAGGGGUCAUGUACGACUACAUACGGUUCGAAGGACCUCCUGGUUCAUAG